GGUGGGUCCAAAGGUAGCAAGUUUCUCAACUGAUCACAUUCAGUUAUAGAUCUAACUCCUUUCUCUAUUCUAUCGCCCCUUCUCAUUACCGUACUCGACUAGUCUUUU
Y RNA from Callithrix jacchus (white-tufted-ear marmoset), 108 nucleotides. It matches the Rfam family "Y RNA". From Rfam's summary of the family: Y RNAs are components of the Ro ribonucleoprotein particle (Ro RNP), in association with Ro60 and La proteins. The Y RNAs and Ro60 and La proteins are well conserved, but the function of the Ro RNP is not known. The record is from Ensembl. NCBI's taxonomy places the organism in Eukaryota, Metazoa, Chordata, Mammalia, Primates, Cebidae.